Long non-coding RNA from Cydia pomonella (codling moth), 1111 nucleotides. RefSeq lists it as uncharacterized. The record is from RefSeq and is a predicted model, not a curated record. The transcript has 2 exons. Lineage: Eukaryota; Metazoa; Arthropoda; Insecta; Lepidoptera; Tortricidae.
AGUGUUGUAGAUUAAUUCCAUCAUAAAAGUAAUAUUAGUUAUAUUGCUUAAUAAGUUUGUUAGUGUUUUUUAACCGAGUAUUUCCCUUCCACUAUGGGUAGUCUAGAUAAAGCAGUACUAACAGGAUUUAUUUGCCGUUUAUGUUCUGAAAUGCAUCGCGUAGUUCUUCAUAUUUAUGGCGAAGAAGGUAUACGUUUGUGCAUAUCGGAGAAAAUCAAUAGGCAUCUAUCAAUAAACGUAUCUCAAUCAGAUCCUCUGCCUAAAACUAUUUGCAAAAGUUGUUUAGAGAAACUGGAAAGCCAACAUAGGCUUGUGAUGCGUAUUGAACAAGCAGCAAAAAUGGUACGCCAAUAUCCGGCCAGACUUGGCCAACGGCGUGGGUGUCUACUGAGCCAUUGUGACAAUAGCUCAAAUGGCCCUCCACAUCCUCCUGUACCAAAAUAAUGUCACAACAAUCUCAAUUUUUAGUAUUCCUACAACAUAGACCAUUAUCCUGUAUUAUCUAAAGCUUGCAUUAGUUAUUGUCAAUAAUAUAUAUUGAUCAUAUAUCUGUGGCUAUGUGUUUUACAGCCCAUAAAAUAUUUUUUGUUGUAAUUCAAGAUAAUUUAUUUUAUGUAUUAUUACUUAUUAGUAUUUAAAUUAAAGUUUUGUACACUUGCUGAAGGAAGGUAGAGUUAGACCAUGAUAACUCUGCAGUGAUUUUUUUAGCAGAGAUGCAAGUGUUAUUUUAAACAUCAAACUUCCAUGAAAUUAUGAAGUUUAAAUAACAAUAACAAUCGCUGCAUAGUUAUUUUGGUCUGACUCUACCUAUACAGUACAGUUAUAGUAUAGUACAUCAUAAUUCAUUAAAUUAAUAUAAUAAAAUUUUAUCUGCAAAUUUGAUGAAUUGAAAUGAUCAAUUUGAUGUAAAUACACAGCAUAAAAACAUAUUAGAUAUAUUAAGUAAUGUGUCAUGAGAUAGGAUGAGUAUGAAUAUUUAAAUGUUAGACCAUUUGCAAAAUGAUGAAACCUAUGAAAUAUAUGAUACAGAUGUAUACAGAUUAAGAUUUGUUUAUUUCAUUAUAACAAAUAAAUAAUUCAUCUGUAUGAAUUUAUAAGAUUUAAGUUUUAU